CCGUAGUGAUGUGUGUUUUGUAUCUACUCAGGACGAACGCUGGCGGCGUGCCUAAUACAUGCAAGUCGAACGCUUCUUUUUCCACCGGAGCUUGCUCCACCGGAAAAAGAGGAGUGGCGAACGGGUGAGUAACACGUGGGUAACCUGCCCAUCAGAAGGGGAUAACACUUGGAAACAGGUGCUAAUACCGUAUAACAAUCAAAACCGCAUGGUUUUGAUUUGAAAGGCGCUUUCGGGUGUCGCUGAUGGAUGGACCCGCGGUGCAUUAGCUAGUUGGUGAGGUAACGGCUCACCAAGGCCACGAUGCAUAGCCGACCUGAGAGGGUGAUCGGCCACAUUGGGACUGAGACACGGCCCAAACUCCUACGGGAGGCAGCAGUAGGGAAUCUUCGGCAAUGGACGAAAGUCUGACCGAGCAACGCCGCGUGAGUGAAGAAGGUUUUCGGAUCGUAAAACUCUGUUGUUAGAGAAGAACAAGGAUGAGAGUAACUGUUCAUCCCUUGACGGUAUCUAACCAGAAAGCCACGGCUAACUACGUGCCAGCAGCCGCGGUAAUACGUAGGUGGCAAGCGUUGUCCGGAUUUAUUGGGCGUAAAGCGAGCGCAGGCGGUUUCUUAAGUCUGAUGUGAAAGCCCCCGGCUCAACCGGGGAGGGUCAUUGGAAACUGGGAGACUUGAGUGCAGAAGAGGAGAGUGGAAUUCCAUGUGUAGCGGUGAAAUGCGUAGAUAUAUGGAGGAACACCAGUGGCGAAGGCGGCUCUCUGGUCUGUAACUGACGCUGAGGCUCGAAAGCGUGGGGAGCAAACAGGAUUAGAUACCCUGGUAGUCCACGCCGUAAACGAUGAGUGCUAAGUGUUGGAGGGUUUCCGCCCUUCAGUGCUGCAGCUAACGCAUUAAGCACUCCGGCCGG
RNAcentral lists this ribosomal RNA (909 nucleotides) under Enterococcus faecium. RNAcentral's name for it is "bacterial SSU rRNA". It matches the Rfam family "Bacterial small subunit ribosomal RNA", at positions 1 to 876 of the family's 1533-position model. The record is from RNAcentral. Lineage: Bacteria; Bacillati; Bacillota; Bacilli; Lactobacillales; Enterococcaceae.